CAGCUAGAAAGUGGGAGAAUUGGGAUUUGAAUACAGACUUGUCUGAACUUCAGCGGCUGCACGCUUUCAUAUCGGUGCAGACGCUGUCCACAAACCGGGUUUGGGAAAGGGCAAGUUACGGGUGCAAAUGGAGCCUUGCAGGUGCCCACGAAUCGAAUAUGGUGCCACCACCCGUGGGCAAGUGUGGGCGGACUUGAUGGGGGACGGGUGGCUAGCGAUUUUCACAGCGCUGAAUCAGGGCUCUGCGUCUGUGGCCGGGGAGUUCCGUGGCCCAGCUGCAGGCGAGGUGAGCCGGUGGGGGAGGGAGCGCAACUGCAAGGGUUGUCCCGGGACAGUGCCGGUACGAACCUCACCCCGCCGCCACCCCCGGGCCAGCUGCUGCAGUCAAUAAGGCGAGGGCCUAGCAGGCGCUCGUCGCCCUCCUGGUGGGGUUCGCUCGGGUGUUCCUACCAGGGUUGAAGAGGGCUAGGGAGCUGAGCUCCGGAAGGGCGGACUAGAGGCCCCAGCGGCCACUCCUAGAGAGGCGGGCAGCUCGGGAGGUCUGAGCGCAGAGGGCGGGCGGAGCCGCACGUUGCGUGGAAUCCCCUAGUUCAUUCCCGGGAGAGCCCCGGGCGCAGGACAGAGCGGUGGAGGGGCGCCUGGGAGCUCUGGGGGACACCAAGAGAAGAGAGGUUAGGGCCAGUGCGCAGCAAACGGGGAGGAACUACGACGCGCUGGGUAGAAAGAGUAAGAGAGGCGCACCCACUUUGCUGGUGAGGGGGGCACACGGGGAGCCUAAGAAAGGCCUAAAGAGGUAGUGGGUGUGAGCCAGCCUCGGGCGCGUUAAAAAGGGGGCGCCGGAGGGAGGCAAGGAGAGGAAGUUGGGUGUAGGAAGAAGCGAGAGGAAACUGUUGCCUGGACAGAGCGUGCCGUGCCAAAGCGCGGAAACGGGAUCAAGGAGGGGGCAUCAGGAAUCGCCUGGGGACCCCCCGGAGAGUGGCGGAAGCGGUGCCCUUGGGCGCAGCAAAGAGAGAAGGGAGCACAGGCUGAGAUAGAGACAGUCCUGGGCGCUGGAGAGCAGGAGCCCCCGGAGCGGCAGGGAAAGGAACGUAGAGCCUGCAUGCUCGGGGUAUGAGCUUACUGCGCUCGCUAGGGUGGCGCGCACUGGGGCUCUAGAAAAGAGGGUUGAGAAGCCCCGGGCAAGUGCCUAGGAAGGUCAGAGGAGUCAGCAAAGUCCACGGAAGAACUUCCCCGGGUUGGAGAGGAAACGCACCCUGGGAGCUGGAAAGAAGAGGAAAGCUAGCCUGGGGGAAGCUUGAUCAGGGCUCUGAGUACCACGAGGAGUGCAGAGGAGGUGCUGAUGAUUGCGGGGAGAGCUCUGAGAGCCCGAGAAAGAUGGGGAAACUGAAGCCCUAGAGGAAAAGAAGACUAAAUGUAUUACCAUCUGACCCACUUCCUGGCCAGCCUGUUCACCUGUCUGCUGUUCUUCAUUGAACAAGAGAAGGAAUCACAAUUGGUCCAUGACAGUCACGGUCAUCUCAUUCCUCUUGCCAGUGGCAGGUGUAUGUGUGAGUUUGCAGCUCAAUCCUGGCCAAGGGGAUCCAAGGACUGCUGAAGAGGCAUGUCUGCACAUGUCACCUAGAACAUCUCCAGCCAUCAUGUGAUCUCUGGGGGAGGCAUUCCCAACUCUCUGAGAGAAGCAGACCAGAAAGAUGGAAAGAAAGCACCUGGCUCCAGGAUGAUGACAUUGAGCCGAUGAAUUAACCACCUUUGUGCUGCUCUAACCUUCAGAGUUCACCUUAACAUGAGAAAAUAAAACCCUUAUUGCUUAGCCACUGGGAUCUUC
Molecule: long non-coding RNA, 1825 nt
Filed under: Homo sapiens (human)
Lineage: Eukaryota; Metazoa; Chordata; Mammalia; Primates; Hominidae
Description: HSALNT0195856
Source: RNAcentral